AUACGUAGGGGGCGAGCGUUAUCCGGAAUUAUUGGGCGUAAAGAGUGCGUAGGUGGUUUUGUAAGCGCGAGGUGAAAGGCUAUGGCUCAACCAUAGUAAGCCUUGUGAACUGUAAGACUUGAGUGCAGGAGAGGAAAGUGGAAUUCCUAGUGUAGCGGUGAAAUGCGUAGAUAUUAGGAGGAACACCAGUGGCGAAGGCGACUUUCUGGACCGUAACUGACACUGAGGCACGAAAGCGUGGGGAGC
RNAcentral lists this ribosomal RNA (246 nucleotides) under uncultured bacterium. RNAcentral's name for it is "partial 16S ribosomal RNA". It matches the Rfam family "Bacterial small subunit ribosomal RNA", at positions 523 to 769 of the family's 1533-position model. The record is from RNAcentral.